Molecule: long non-coding RNA, 559 nt
Organism: Numida meleagris (helmeted guineafowl)
Lineage: Eukaryota; Metazoa; Chordata; Aves; Galliformes; Numididae
Exons: 3
Source: RefSeq, a predicted model, not a curated record
AAGAAUGUGUACAGUGUAUCCUGGAGACAAGGUAUGCCAGAGGCAGGACCAAUUCAAACAACGCUGCAGAACUCCAGGGCUGACUUGAGGCCUAUAAGGCAAUGUAAGGAUACAGCACGCUUCCAUUUAGGAGAGAGACAAGACAGUUAAAGCAUGCUGGCUAUGCAAAAUACACACAAAACUUUUCCAAGGAAGCACACUGGUGAUAGAACUAAGGGAGAAAAAAUGCUUGACUUGAAGAACUAUUGAUGGCUUUUCACCUAAGAGAUUUGGAUCAGAUAAUCAAAAUAUAUUACAUGGAAAUGAUCACAGAAGCCAACAGCAGAGAGAGGCCGAUUUCACGUAUAGACAGUACAUACGCGAAGCAUCGCCCUAAAGUUCACAAAAGAGGAGUGAGUUACUUUGCAGGCCUGCAAUCCCUUCUGGAGAAGUAAAUAAUGAAAUAACAUGACAAACCCCUGGCCUACUCCAGUUCAGUGGGAAAGGGUAAAUAGAAGAAGUGGAGAGAAAACACAGUUUUCCAUUGGGCAAGAAACAAAAAAUGAAAAUGAACAAUGAA